UAUGGGGCAUCGAACUCAGGUCCUUGCGCUUGCGCAGCGGCGGAGAAACCACUGAGCUAAAUCCCUGGCCCUUGGGUUCUCAUUUUUAAGUGGAGGCAACAGAGUCUGGAAUAGAAAGAUAAGGAGAUUCAUCACCAGUGUUUUCAUUUGUUCACUAUGCUCCUGGAGGUUAAAGGUCAUAAGGGUGGCCACUAGGGCAAAUCCUGUAGUCUCAGCUCCUGUAGGGAGGCUGAGGCAGGGGAGUUGCUUGUGCCCAAGACUUGGAGCCUGGUGCUUGCAAAGUAAAGGGGCUUUGGCUUUAAAUCAGCCAGUCAAUACAUACAUACAGGUACGUUCAGAGAGAACGAGGGAAGAGUGAAUUAGUAUAAAUAUUAAAACAUUGAAAUGAAGAUGUUGGGAGUGAUACAGGAAGUAAAGCCUGGCAAAGCUGGCUGGGGAAAUGAGCAAUACUUGUCAAUCACAAGAUCCCAGGCCAACAUGAGGACUCGUCCAUGAAACUUCUCCCAAGCUUCCACCAGAUGUGGGCAGCAUAAAAGAAGAGCAGCCUUUUCCGAAAGCCAGUAUCCUGAGUUUGCACUGUGGCCUGGGUGCUUUUCUGAGACAAGGUGCAUACUUUUAUUUUUGCUUUUCCCCUCUUUUUCUCUUUGUUCUGCCCAAGUUUGCUCUGCAGAGCUGGUUUCUUCCACAUCCAUUCACCCCCUACUUUUGAAAUAAACUUUUGGCACCGUUUUUGGCUUGUCUCGUCCAAUUCUUUGUUCCAGGCCAGAAGGACCUGGAAUACUUCUGAUUGGCUAGCCAUUUCUACAGAAACUGCCACGUAACUGGAGAAGGUAGAGAUGGCCUUAGUCAUCCUGGACGGUGGAGCCCAGAAAGACCUCCCCAUGCAGGGAAAGCAGCAGCCAUGCCGCUGUUUUCCCGGACCUCCACCAUGCCCAGCUAUGGAAUUCCAAGACAUAAUUCCAUUUUGGCCUCCAGUCACAACCGAGACCUCAAUGAUCCAGUGAUGCUGUGAUUCUCCAGGACAAGAUUACUCCAGCUGAAGGCAUCCUGGGAGGAACAAACAUCUACUCAGUUCCUCAUUGUUCUUGGACUGUUACCAUCUUGUUUACCCGGAUGUACUGAACUCUCUGCAAGUCAUUUGUUAC
This 1145-nucleotide long non-coding RNA is filed under the name Heterocephalus glaber (naked mole-rat). RNAcentral's name for it is "lncRNA (ENSHGLG00000041071.1)". Lineage: Eukaryota; Metazoa; Chordata; Mammalia; Rodentia; Bathyergidae. The record is from RNAcentral.